This 466-nucleotide ribosomal RNA is filed under the name uncultured bacterium. Its description in RNAcentral is "bacterial SSU rRNA". It matches the Rfam family "Bacterial small subunit ribosomal RNA", at positions 28 to 506 of the family's 1533-position model. The record is from RNAcentral.
GAUGAACGCUGGCGGUAUGCCUAACACAUGCAAGUCGUACGAGAGUUUUUAACUCUAGUGGCGGACGGGUGAGUAACACGUGAGAAUUUGCCUUUAGGAGGGGGAUAACAAUUGGAAACGAAUGCUAAUACCCCACUAUGCUUUUGUAGUGAAAUAGGAUUUUAUUCCGCCUAGAGAGAAGCUCGCGGCUGAUUAGCUUGUUGGUAAGGUAAGAGCUUACCAAGGCGACGAUCAGUAUCUGGUUUGUAGAGGACGAUCAGACACACUGGAACUGAGACACGGUCCAGACUCCUACGGGAGGCAGCAGUGGGGAAUUUUCCGCAAUGGGCGAAAGCCUGACGGAGCAAUACCGCGUGAGGGAAGAAUGCCUAUGGGUUGGUAAACCUCUUUUGUCAGGGAAGAAACACCGGCUCUAACACAGUCCGGGAAUGACGGUACCUGAAGAAUAAGCACCGGCUAACUACGU